RNAcentral lists this long non-coding RNA (615 nucleotides) under Bos taurus (domestic cattle). RNAcentral's name for it is "long non-coding RNA NONBTAT005641". Lineage: Eukaryota; Metazoa; Chordata; Mammalia; Artiodactyla; Bovidae. The record is from RNAcentral.
UCUAUUAAUGUCAGAGUCACCAAAAACAGGCAAUAAAGUUUACACAGAAGAUUGAAAACAUCAUGAUAGUGUUAACAAAUGCACAAAACUUUGAGCAAAGCUUUACAAAUCCUUCAUACCAUACAAAGCAAAUGAGAAAAUAAUGUAAAUUUUCAUCCCAAACCUUAUUCUUAGGAGAAAAUUUGCAGGAAGAGAGGUAUGAAUAGUUUCACAGAACAUAUUUUCAAGAAUUUUUUAAAAACUCAAACUCCAAUCAGAACUAGAUGAACAGUAUGCUUAGCAGUUAGCACUAUGUUAAUAAGUCUUAGAUACACAAAAAUCAAGUUCCAGAGGGCAAAGUAUUUAAUUACAUUUCACAACAAGAGAAGCACUGUUGUGAGACCAAAUAUGAAACACAAUUCUCUCCAAUUUCUACACAAACCAAGAUUCCCAAGCAGUGCUGAAGUUUUCUGCACUCUCUGUCUUUGGAAUGAGAAAUGAUUACUUAACAGAAAACUUAAAUUGAACAGCAUAUACAAACAUAUUGCUUUUUUAGUUGAGGAGGCAAUUAUCUAGUGAUCUGUCAAAGCAAAUUUGUAUUCGUGAAUUACCAAAAGACCCACAACACAGCCAUCU